UGGCAAAGAGGCCACACCCGUUCCCAUCCCGAACACGGCAGUUAAGCUCUUUUGCGCCGAUGGUAGUUGGGGGUCUCCCCCUGUGAGAGUAGGACAUCGCUGGGC
This 105-nucleotide ribosomal RNA is filed under the name Planomicrobium stackebrandtii. The record is from RNAcentral. Lineage: Bacteria; Bacillati; Bacillota; Bacilli; Caryophanales; Caryophanaceae.